RNAcentral lists this transfer RNA (90 nucleotides) under Pseudomonadota bacterium. RNAcentral's name for it is "tRNA-Ser". It matches the Rfam family "tRNA". Rfam says of the family: Transfer RNA (tRNA) molecules are approximately 80 nucleotides in length. Their secondary structure includes four short double-helical elements and three loops (D, anti-codon, and T loops). The record is from RNAcentral. Lineage: Bacteria; Pseudomonadati; Pseudomonadota. RNAcentral also lists the same sequence under 2 other names.
GGAGAGGUGUCCGAGUGGCCGAAGGAGCACGCUUGGAAAGCGUGUGUGCGGGCAACUGCACCGCGGGUUCGAAUCCCGCCCUCUCCGCCA